Ciona intestinalis (vase tunicate) is the source of this 616-nucleotide non-coding RNA. NCBI's taxonomy places the organism in Eukaryota, Metazoa, Chordata, Ascidiacea, Phlebobranchia, Cionidae. The record is from RefSeq and is a predicted model, not a curated record.
UAGCAAUAUUUACCCUUACUAGAGGAGCGCAAUGAUUUAAUUUAUCGAACAUUCUGAACACGAAGUUAUUAAAAACAAUUAAGCAUAAAAGAAUGGCAGCGGUGGGAUUCGAACCCACGCCAUCGAAAUGACUGGUGCCUUAAACCAGCGCCUUAGACCACUCGGCCACGCUACCCACGGAAGUCGUAGAAACGCAAGCUUUCAAGUACUGCUAUAGUCACUUCUUUUCCGGUUUAUUGCAUAUGCUUUCUGUUUAUAACGCAAAAUAGAGUAAAAUAAUUUUCUAAUGCAAGACCUUUGCCGCACACGUGUUUUUUAAUUUCCUGGCUAUAGAUAUAAAAAUGUUGAAAAUAGUUGCCCAAAACCAUUAACAAUCGCAUACUGGUUGUGUGGUUCGAAUUCAACCCACGCGGACAUACGUUCAUUGGAACUUACGUCCAACGCCUUAACCACUCGGCCAACCCAGUUGGCUGCAAAACCACGUAUUGAUUCUGAGAUAUGUGGUGAUAAGUGUUUUGGUCCCGAAUGGACGUGUUGGGUUUUAUCGAAUAUAUAUACAGGUGUUAGCACGCGUUAAAACUGUUUUAUCCUUGCUAAAAGAAUAAAUGUUUUUUCC